This 480-nucleotide ribosomal RNA is filed under the name uncultured bacterium. Its description in RNAcentral is "partial 16S ribosomal RNA". It matches the Rfam family "Bacterial small subunit ribosomal RNA", at positions 28 to 507 of the family's 1533-position model. The record is from RNAcentral.
GACGAACGCUGGCGGCGUGCUUAACACAUGCAAGUCGAACGAUGAAGAAAAGAAUCGAAGCUUCGGCAGAAAUUCAUUUCGGAUUAGUGGCAGACGGGUGAGUAACGCGUGAGCAACCUACCUCUUACAAAGGGAUAGCCUCGGGAAACCGGGAUUAAUACCAUAUAACAUUGUGACGAAGCAUUUCGAUGCAAUCAAAGCUACGGCGGUAGGAGAUGGGCUCGCGUCCCAUUAACCGGAUGGUGAGGUAACGGCUCACCAUAGUGACGAUGGGUAACCGGCCUGAGAGGGUGAACGGUCACACUGGAACUGAGACACGGUCCAGACUCCUACGGGAGGCAGCAGUGGGGAAUAUUGCACAAUGGAGGGAACUCUGAUGCAGCGACGCCGCGUGAGUGAUGAAGGAAUUCGUUUCGUAAAACUCUGUUCUAUGGGAAGAAAAGGACUGUACCAUAGGAGAAAGCUCCGGCUAAAUACGUG